ACCAGGGUGAAACUAAAGACGGACAUUACGCUUCUGCUCCUCCUGAUGAAUCCAGCCUCACAUAUUCUGUGGUUGAGCUCAAACACCUUAAAAAGAAGGAGAAGCACGAUGAACCAGACGAGAGCCCCGUUUACUCGGAUGUGAGGAUCCCAUCAGCUGCAGGAAAAUCCAGAUGUGCAGCAGAAGAGGAAACUCUUUAUUCUGAAGUCAAACCAGGAACAUCUGAUCAAUAAAGACGUCCGUGUGGACAAAACCACCGACAUGAAAAACAAUCUCUUCAGGAUAUAAGAUGUGUCCUUAAACAGCUACAGAGCAGACAGCUUGGUGUUCUGUGGAAGCCUCUUCCCUUGUUGUAGUCUGCUUUGGAUGGAUGAGGUUCUGGUUAAAAAGGAUCAUGUGAUCUUUGCAGGUUUCUUCAUCGUAUCCAGAGAGGUAGAGUCCAAAAAAAGAGCGUUGAUCUUUCUUUCCCCGAUACGUUAGCGUAGCAGAGAGCCGUGAUACUUCCCCCGGGGACACGAGAACCCUUCAUCUCAUGGAGCCAUUUCAUUAUCUGACAAACAGUUUUAGGUUUGUGAGGUUGUUUUUGUUGCUGCUUAUUAUAUAUUAUAAUUACAGUCUGCUGAGUGCUACUGAAAUUCAUUUUAAAUGUUAGAUAUAGUCUGAAGUAGCGUAAAGUCUUUUGCUUGCAUCCUUAAAUCCCUAUAAUACUUUUUUUCCAGUAAAAGUGGAUAAAUAGAAUCUCACAUGGAGUGUUUGUCUCUUUUCUGCCUGAGAUUGUAUAUUUUUUCCUGCAUACUUACAGACGUCUGGAGAUGUCAGAAGACUUUUAGUGCUGCAAAAAUAAUGGAUCCAUUUCAAAGGGAAUGUUAGCAACUGAUGUCUGUAAGAAAGCAAAAAUCAAAAGCUUUAAGACUAAUCAGCAAACUCCUGCCAUCCUCCUUUAUCGUACUGAGAGAUCUAAAUAUGAUCUAUUAGUUACUGAACACAGCUUUGUUAUGGAGAACUGAACUCAAUUGAAAACAUUAAAUUCCCAUUAAGGGAUUUUUCUCCUCGAAAAAAACUGCAGAUUUUCCAAUAAAAUCCACUAAAAUACCAUUUAAUAUCAUCCACCUUCGCCGAGUUAUUCUUAACACGGAGGCUAUUUCUACAUGUGAUUACUUUAAGGUGCCUCGAUUGAUAAAUAAGUCCCUUUCUGCACUUUCCAGACUUUGAGAGAGAGAAAUGUGACUCAGCUAAGAAGCUUUAAACUCUUAAACUCCUCUUCAUGUGUAACUCAUAGAGGUUUGAGUUCAGGCCACAGACAAAACGCUGUGAUUUCCAGGCAGUGGAAGAAAGUCACAGAAGCCACAUGAGUCGUGGAAGAAGUAGAAAGUGAGCUGAUGGUUGGGGGAGGAUGCAUGAGGGAUGCAGCGUCUGCAGUCACCACUGGGGGGCAGUGAUGCACUAAAAGGCCCAACAAUGCACCUCCUAUGUUUGCCCACCUGUAGCUCUUCUGCCUUCAUCAAUUAGGUGGCUGAGGAUGACGAGGGGAAUCGGUCACAGCAAAGACUCAUCGCUCAGCGUGUAAAUGAUGCGUUUCUGUAGUUUGUGCUGUCAAAGCUAUUAUGGGAACUCUGGAUUAUUUAACCAGAUGAAAGUGUAUCUUUCUGAAUAUUAAAAAAUGCAGAUUUAUCUCCCAUUCUACAUUAUGAGGGUUGUUUUAAUCACAGCUGUGGGUCAAUAAAGCGAACCAAUGACUUAA
Gasterosteus aculeatus aculeatus (three-spined stickleback) is the source of this 1741-nucleotide non-coding RNA. NCBI's taxonomy places the organism in Eukaryota, Metazoa, Chordata, Actinopteri, Perciformes, Gasterosteidae. The record is from RefSeq and is a predicted model, not a curated record.